GACGAACGCUGGCGGCGUGCUUAACACAUGCAAGUCGAACGGAAAGGCCCUGCUUUUGUGGGGUGCUCGAGUGGCGAACGGGUGAGUAACACGUGAGUAACCUGCCCUUGACUUUGGGAUAACUUCAGGAAACUGGGGCUAAUACCGGAUAGGAGCUCCUGCUGCAUGGUGGGGGUUGGAAAGUUUCGGCGGUUGGGGAUGGACUCGCGGCUUAUCAGCUUGUUUGUGGGGUAGUGGCUUACCAAGGCUUUGACGGGUAGCCGGCCUGAGAGGGUGACCGGCCACCUUGGGCCUGCGAUACGGCCCAGACUCCUACGGGAGGCAGCAGUGGAGAGUAUUACACAGUGGGCUGAAGCCUGAUGCAGCAACGCCGCGUGCGGGAUGACGGCCUUCGGGUUGUAAACCACUUUCGCCUGUGACGAAGCGUGAGUGACGGUAAUGGGUAAAGAAGCACCGGCUAACUACGUG
RNAcentral lists this ribosomal RNA (468 nucleotides) under uncultured bacterium. RNAcentral's name for it is "partial 16S ribosomal RNA". It matches the Rfam family "Bacterial small subunit ribosomal RNA", at positions 28 to 507 of the family's 1533-position model. The record is from RNAcentral.